AAAAGCUCCCUGAGCCCGACCAACAAUGGGAUCUUCCUCUGAGGUUCACGCUACUCCUUGUCCAGACUGAUCCCGGAGAGGAGAACAAGCCUCCGAGCACGUGCUCGUCAACUCCAUGCCGGCCGCUCCAAGCGCCCCUGCUUCGUGUCUUCAAGGCAGGCGCCGAGAUAGCCUUUGCAGCGAGCUGUGGUGUGUGGACUCUGCGGCGAGAUGGGAUUCAGAAUCCUUUUCCGUGGUGAGAUAACCCUGCCACCACUCAUAUGCCAUUGCAUAUAAGUGAAUCUGUUUUAUAGAAAUCAAUCUUGCACGGUGGUUAGCUCCGUAAUUUAUUUUAUUCCGUAGCAGACUGAGGUUCUCACAGCCUAUUUGCUGGAAUGCCAACGAGGAGUCAAUUUUCCAUCUCCACAAAUAUUCUUGGUCUCUUCAAAUUAACUGCUUCUUAAUCCAACUACCAUUUUUCAAGAUUAGUUCAUUUAUAUAAUAUUUAUUUUUGUACCAGUGUUGAUCAAGUAGGUUAUUAUUGUGAGGAAUCAGCAGUAGGAUGCACAUGUAUUUGUUUCUUGCCACUGGUUGCAAAAGCCUAAAAAAUGAUAUGUUUUAUUCACCUCUUAACAGUAAUACGAGUAUUUUGUUUAUUUCCUACUCCCUUUUAGUGUUUACUGAUUAGUCACUCUUAAAGGUGAAUGCAUGUGUAUAAUAGGUGUGUCAUGGCUGCAUUUUGCGGCCCCUGACUACUGGAAAGUAAUCUCCUUUGGAUGAUUUGUAUUUUUUUCUGGAAUUUGUACUUAGAUAGCACAUCCAAGGAAGGAAGGAGAUUG
RNAcentral lists this long non-coding RNA (818 nucleotides) under Triticum aestivum (bread wheat). RNAcentral describes it as "long non-coding RNA (TAES_LNC018089)". Lineage: Eukaryota; Viridiplantae; Streptophyta; Magnoliopsida; Poales; Poaceae. The record is from RNAcentral.